CAAUAGCGUAUAUUAAAGUUGUUGCAGUUAAAAAGCUCGUAGUUGAAAUGAUGGCUUGCUAUCGUGACUCUAACUUGGAGGAUCUUUGGCUUGCCAGGCAUCUCACGAUGCCUAGUUACUUUGAGAAAAAUAGAGUGUUUCAAGCGGGCAUUUGCUGAAAUAGUGUACCGUGGAAUGACGAAAAGGCUGCUUUUCCGGUUUUGAGUUCUCGGAAUUGCGGUGCGUGUUGAGAGGAACAGUCGGGGGUAUUCGUAUUGAACAGUCAGAGGUGAAAUUCUUAGAUUUGUUCAGGACGAACUAGUGCGAAAGCAUCUACCAAGGAUGUUUUCAUUAAG
RNAcentral lists this ribosomal RNA (335 nucleotides) under uncultured eukaryote. Its description in RNAcentral is "partial 18S ribosomal RNA". It matches the Rfam family "Eukaryotic small subunit ribosomal RNA", at positions 592 to 977 of the family's 1831-position model. The record is from RNAcentral.